UGAAAUACGAACUGUGCUGUGAUUGGUUAGCUGGGCCAGCGUGUGCUGUGUUGCGAUUGGUUAGCUGGGCCAGCGUGUGCUGUGUUGCGGUCGGUUAGCUGGGCCAGUGUGUGUUGCGGUCGGUUAGCUGGGCCAGCGUGUGCUGUGUUGCGAUUUGGUUAGCUGGGCCAGUGUGUGUUGCGGUCGGUUAGCUGGGCCAGUGUGUGUUGUGUUGUGGUCGGUUAGCUGGGCCAGUGUGUUGUGUGUUGCGGUCGGUUAGCUGGGCCAGUGUGUGUUGCGGUUGGUUAGCUGGGCCAGUGUGUGUGUGCUGUGAUUGGUUAGCUGGGCCAGUGUGUGUGUGCUGUGGUCGGUUAGCUGGGCCAGUGUGUGUUGCGGUCGGUUAGCUGGGCCAGUGUGUGUUGCGGUCGGUUAGCUGGGCAAGUGUGUGUUGCGGUUGGUUAGCUGGGCCAGUGUGUGUUGCGGUUGGUUAGCUGGGCCAGUGUGUGUGUGCUGUGGUUGGUUAGCUGGGCCAGUGUGUGUGUGCUGUGGUUGGUUAGCUGGGCCAGUGUGUGUUGCGGUUGGUUAGCUGGGCCAGUGUGUGUUGCGGUUGGUUAGCUGGGCCAGUGUGUGUGUGCUGUGAUUGGUUAGCUGGGCCAGUGUGUGUUGCGGUUGGUUAGCUGGGCCAGUGUGUGUGUGCUGUGAUUGGUUAGCUGGGCCAGUGUGUGUUGCGGUUGGUUAGCUGGGCCAGUGUGUGUGUUGCGGUUGGUUAGCUGGGCCAGUGUGUGUGUGCUGUGAUUGGUUAGCUGGGCCAGUGUGUGUGUGUGCUGUGAUUGGUUAGCUGGGCCAGUGUGUGUGUGCUGUGGUUGGUUAGCUGGGCCAGUGUGUGUUGCCGUUGGUUAGCUGGGCCAGUGUGUGUGUGCUGUGGUUGGUUAGCUGGGCCAGUGUGUGUUGCGAUUGGUUAGCUGGGCCAGUGUGUGUUGCGGUUGGUUAGCUGGGCCAGUGUGUGUGUGUGCUGUGAUUGGUUAGCUGGGCCAGUGUGUGUUGCGGUUGGUUAGCUGGGCCAGUGUGUGUGUGCUGUGGUUGGUUAGCUGGGCCAGUGUGUGUUGCGGUUGGUUAGCUGGGCCAGUGUGUGUUGUGGUC
Cyprinus carpio carpio is the source of this 1119-nucleotide long non-coding RNA. NCBI's taxonomy places the organism in Eukaryota, Metazoa, Chordata, Actinopteri, Cypriniformes, Cyprinidae. The record is from Ensembl.